Molecule: long non-coding RNA, 987 nt
Organism: Ctenopharyngodon idella (grass carp)
Lineage: Eukaryota; Metazoa; Chordata; Actinopteri; Cypriniformes; Xenocyprididae
Exons: 4
Source: RefSeq, a predicted model, not a curated record
AAUAAAUCAAUUUAAAAAUCCAACAUUAAUUUGAUCUUUAUAUGAUUAAACAUUUAGAAGAAUAUGUAUAAAUAAAUCUUGUUUGAAGUAGUAUUUUUACAUACCAUAUUUAUGUUUUUGUUUUGAUUCUUUUUUUUAAUCGUUAAGCUUGUGGAAUCCACUGCAGAAAUCUGGUGGGGAGCUUAUAAUUUUACAUUUUUAAUACAUUUUAAUACAUGUUUUAAUACAUAUUUUAAUACAUAAUUCUUAAACAUUUUUUAAUUUAUUUUGCAGUACAUCACAACCAAGGAAGGUGAAUGAGAAAUAUGCCAGAGUAAUUGUGGUGUUGUUCCUGUACCUCAGUGACCCCUUCUUCAAAAAUGGCUAGGAGCAUUGCUAUGUUGGUGAGAGUGCCACCAGAUAUUUGCCAUGGAGAAUCAAAACUAUACAGAGAGGCAUUGCUAAAGAACAAGGAGUAUCAUUUGAAGGAAAAGGAUUGUCUUGUCAAGGCCAGAAAAGGCAUCUACGUCUCAAAUAGGGAUAUCUUGUCUUCUAGAAGAGUGAAACAAGCAUUGAGGAGCAUCUUCAAGAUAUCGCUGGAAGUGCUCAGCCCUAUGCUGUGGGAAGAAGAAUUCAGUUCACCAGUUCUUCAUUCUUGAUCAACAUGUCAUUCCAUGCAAGUAAGCCUCUUCUCUUGAUGCCUUUGAUGACAUUUUUAAUGGGAUUAAUUUACCCAAAAAUGAAAAUUCUGUCAUUAACUCUCCCUCAUGCCGUUCCAAACCCGUAAGACCUUCGUUCAUCUUCGAAACACCAAUGAAGAUAUUUUAAUGAAAUCUGAGAGAUUUCUGUCCCUCUGUUGACAGUUUACACAACUAGCACAUUCAAGGCCCAGAAAGGUAGUAAUGAGACAUUAAAGUAAUCCAUGUGACUCUGUUGGUUUAACCUCAACUUUAUACACGCAUUCACACAACAACGACUGUUUUAAUUUCAACAAAUCACUCAUGCGUC